CCUACGGGAGGCAGCAGUGAGGAAUAUUGGUCACUGGACGAGAGUCUGAACCAGCCAAGUAGCGUGAAGGAUGACUGCCCUAUGGGUUGUAAACUUCUUUUAUAUGGGACUAAAAUGUUCCACGUGUGGGAUUUUGUAUGUACCAUAUGAAUAAGGAUCGGCUAACUCCGUGCCAGCAGCCGCGGUAAUACGGAGGAUCCGAGCGUUAUCCGGAUUUAUUGGGUUUAAAGGGAGCGUAGGUGGAUUGUUAAGUCAGUUGUGAAAGUUUGCGGCUCAACCGUAAAAUUGCAGUUGAAACUGGCAGUCUUGAGUACAGUAGAGGUGGGCGGAAUGCGUGGUGUAGCGGUGAAAUGCUUAGAUAUCACGAAGAACUCCGAUUGCGAAGGCAGUUCACUGGACUGCAACUGACACUGAGGCUCGAAAGUGUGGGUAUCAAACAGGAUUAGAUACCCUAGUAGUC
Molecule: ribosomal RNA, 460 nt
Filed under: uncultured bacterium
Lineage: Bacteria
Description: partial 16S ribosomal RNA
Rfam family: Bacterial small subunit ribosomal RNA
Source: RNAcentral